GUAGCUUAUACUGCGAGUUGAACGUAUUUUUACGUAGCGAACGGGUGAGUAAUGCAAAGGUUAUUUGCUUUUAGAUUCGGAAUAAAAUACCGAUGUAAAAGAAUCAGAUCGUCUAAAAAUAAGCUUUUGUAGAAUUAGGUAGUUGGUAAGGUAAAGGCUUACCAAGCCGACGAUUCUUAGCUGGUCCGAGAGGAUGAUCAGCCACACUGGAACUGAGACAAGGUCCAGGCUUUUUUAUAAAGCCAGCAGUAGGGGAUAUUGGACAAUGAGCUAGCGCUUGAUCCAGCUAUACCACAUGAGUGAUUAAGGCUCUUUGGCUGUAAAACUCGAUAUUUUUGGGAAGAGAAUGACAAUACCAAAAGAAAAGUCCCGGCUAACUUCGUGCCAGCAGUCGCGGUAAUACGGAGGGGGCGAGCGUUAUCUGGAAUAAUUGGGCGUAAAGGGUUCGUAGGCUGUAUUUUGCUCGUUGAAUGUUAAAAAUCAGAGCUUAACUUUGAAAAUGCAUUCAAAACGUUUAUACUUGAGUACGAAAUAGGACAAUGGAAUUUUACAAGGAGGGGUGAAAUCCGUAGAACUGUAAAGGAAUGUCAAAAGCGAAGGCAGUUGUCUGGGUCGUUACUGACGCUAAGGAACGAAA
Molecule: ribosomal RNA, 637 nt
Filed under: uncultured bacterium
Lineage: Bacteria
Description: bacterial SSU rRNA
Rfam family: Bacterial small subunit ribosomal RNA
Source: RNAcentral